Drosophila yakuba is the source of this 2147-nucleotide long non-coding RNA. RefSeq lists it as uncharacterized. Lineage: Eukaryota; Metazoa; Arthropoda; Insecta; Diptera; Drosophilidae. The transcript is spliced from 2 exons. The record is from RefSeq and is a predicted model, not a curated record.
UUUCCGUCACUAUUUGACGUUUGUGGAUGUUGUAGUACACAAGUCGAUCCGGCGACUGCUCCGUGCUACGUGCCCGGCAAGUUGUCAAACAAGCCGUGGGCAAAUACGAAGUGCCAGCCGGGGAGCACAGAGUGCCGGAGUACGGAUUACGGAGAGUGCGGAGCGUGGAGUGUGGAGCAUGGAGCUCCGUUGCCGGACUCCAAAGAGAGGAGACCACCGCGCUGCACUCGUCCGACUGUCAAUUACAACUCUAAAUAUGUGUGCACACUCGACAUUUGUCGCAUUUGUUUGCAUUUGCGCCUGCCUGCAAUAAAAUCCAACAACCGACAUUCAUCGCGCAAGAGUUAUACGUUCUGGCAUAUGGGAAUACACUGGAAAAAAAGGGGCAGAAAAUGAUCUCAUCCCAAAUGACACCUGUUUUUUUCCGGUGUAUUGCCCUUCGAGUGCGACUUCAUAUGCAUGCUUCAGUUCUCUGUCGCAACGUGAGAGAACUCUGUGGAAGCGUAGAGCUCUGUGGAAAUGGCCCCAACUCCCCGUCGGCAAAAGUGUCCCGUCCAAUAAAAUCUAAUAACCACUUGGGGACACCGUUUGGGCACUCCCCUCCUCCACUUCUCCUAUCGCCGGAGGAGUUCGGCGGCUCCAAGGGCCCAACAACUGCGGACGGCGGACCUUAUAAGCAAGGUCUCUCUAUUCACUUGCACGAUUUUCGGCAGCUUUUCUUCUUCUGUAUUAUGACAUUGGCACAAAGAUGCGGCGGCGACUGCAGUUCCAGAAAUUUAGUUUUCCUGCCUUUAUGAUCGUUUGUCGGUCGUCAAAGGGCCUCUACGGGUGGUGGGAGUACACAGGGGGGCGGGGGGGGUUGGAGACGAGGUGUCUAGGAGACAGCUGUGUGUGUUGCAAGUAGUUGGGGUAUUUGGGGGUAGGCUUACGAAAGGAAUUCGGGGAAUUCACGAAAUAAAGUAAUCGCUUUAAUGGCUGCUUCAAAAUAGAAAACUUUUUAGUCCAUUAUAAAGAAAGUUUAUUUUAUACGCUAAUUAGUAUAUUAUAGUACAGUUAUAAAAGCUUUAGUUAGCAACCAAGCUGAGGUACCUUAACUACCUUUGUGUGAGAUAGAAAAAACAUAGCGAACUGCACGUAAAGUGCCCCAACUGAAAUGCGAAAACGUUUACGAGAUGGCACCUAAUUAGGCAGAAGAACGCCGCCAGAAAUUUACGUUUCCUUCGGUUCUGGCGCAUCUUUCACCUCUGCAAACUAUACUUACGACUUUUCGAACACUCCAACGCCAGCGAUUGGCCCAAAAAAUGAGUAAAAUGCGCUUUUCCUACACAGAAAAGAAAACUAUUCAAAAAAUAUUAAUACUUUUACAAAUUAAAGUUUCCAAUAAUCACAUAUCUAAGAAAUGCUUUUAAGAUACUACUUAUUUUGUGUGGAAUAUUACAAAAAUGUGAAAAAUUGAGUUUGCACUGAGCAAACACGGAUUCGUUCCCAUUGAGUUGCCGAUGCGGCCGGGUCAGAAUUAUUGGCGUAGUUACGACCGGACGGACAGUCACAUACAUCAAAUCAUAAAGCAAAUGGUGCCGACAAACUAACUGGCCGGAGCCAAAAUGGCAGAGUGGCCAAAUAACCAAAUAGCCCAGGCCGACAGCCCACUGACAUUUACAUUCGCCCCAAAAAAGACAACGCCAGGGCAAAUGAACAACCGAUGGCCAAACAACCAAACAACCGAACAACCAAACCAAAGGAGUCCCAACAACCGACGACAACGAGAACGUUCCGCUUUUUUGCGUUGGUUCCGGGAAACGCAACAAAAUUUCACAACGCACCCAAAUGUUUCCCUUCCUCUCAACUUGGCCAUCAUCAUCAUCAUCGGCAACAUCCCCAUCAUCGUGCCCCCACUGCAUCUCCAAAGCCCCAGGAAGACAACAACACCUUGACCAAAAGCAAUAGCCAACUUCAAAGAAUCUUCCAACGGCCACGCCUCGAACACUAGACAACAACAUUGUUGGUUGCUGUUGUUGGUACACCGAAAGAAAAAUAAUUAUUGUAACAUUAAUUGCAGAAUGAUUCGGAUUACAUGCUGUACAUGAUAUAAGAAAUAAGCAUAUUUAGUAAAUACUCACAUAUUCAUUUGAAAACUUUCGUUUAAA